This 245-nucleotide ribosomal RNA is filed under the name uncultured Lactobacillus sp. RNAcentral's name for it is "partial 16S ribosomal RNA". It matches the Rfam family "Bacterial small subunit ribosomal RNA", at positions 116 to 355 of the family's 1533-position model. Lineage: Bacteria; Bacillati; Bacillota; Bacilli; Lactobacillales; Lactobacillaceae. The record is from RNAcentral.
CGUGGGUAACCUGCCCAAGAGAUCGGGAUAACACCUGGAAACAGAUGCUAAUACCGGAUAACAACAGAUGAUGCCUAUCAACUGUUUAAAAGAUGGUUCUGCUAUCACUCUUGGAUGGACCUGCGGUGCAUUAGCUAGUUGGUAGGGUAACGGCCUACCAAGGCGAUGAUGCAUAGCCGAGUUGAGAGACUGAUCGGCACAUUGGGACUGAGACACGGCCCAAACUCCUACGGGAGGCAGCAGUU